Molecule: unclassified non-coding RNA, 240 nt
Filed under: soil metagenome
Description: partial contains 5.8S ribosomal RNA, internal transcribed spacer 2, and large subunit ribosomal RNA
Source: RNAcentral
AAGACUAUAGACCUGCGGAGUACCUGCGGAAGGAUCAUUACCGAGUGAGGGUCCUCUCGGGCCCGACCUCCCAACCCUAUGUUUACUGAACCUCUGUUGCUUCGGCGGACCCGCCUCACGGCCGUCGGAGGGUUGUUACAAACCCUCUGGCCAGCGUCCGCCGACGGCCAACCUUUUAAAACUCUGUAUGAAUCGUGUCAUGAUGUCUAAGUACAAUUGCAAAAUUAAAAGCAAAACUUU